AUCAAAAUAUUAAUGGUAGUAUGAUAAUUGUGGAUGGCUGAAUGACAUCUCUCUUUCAAUCUAAUUUUCAGAUUUGUUUUCUCUCUCCUAUUUUCUCCCUCCUCCUCCCGCCUCAUUUUCCGCCAUUAUUGCAGUGAAGUUUUCCUCAUCCUUCAACUUCUUCUUCCAUUAUUGAUCGGCUUUCCCUUUAUUUUCUCAAUUUGUCCAGCAAAUUACCUUCUAGGUAUUAUUUUUCGAUUGUUGAUUAUUAUAUUUUUCGAUUCUGAUUGUUGAUUGUUUUAUUAGGGUUCAAUCGAUUAUUUUUGUUGUUUUACAUGUUCGAUUGUUGCUCUAGUUUUUCUCUUUCCUCUCCCAAAUUUGGCGAUUCAAUCUUACUCUGGCUUCUCGAAUUUGUGUGUUUUAUUCUAUGUUGAAGAGAAAUGAAUGAAAUUCUGUCUCACUUUGCCUCUUCAAUAGGCUAGGUAAUUUCUUACCUUGCAAUGUUUUAAGUUGCUUCAAAUUUAGUUUUGCAAUUGGUAUAUAAUCUUCAAUUUGUAGAAUGAAUUCAGUUAAUUUUUGGAUUAUCCCUUUGGUAUGACUGAUUUUUCUGGACAAAUUUUCUGACUUAAACAAUUAAACUCAAGUGUUUAGAAGGUAUUGGCUUAGUUUUGUUUAAUGUUAGUUCAUUCUAAGAAAUCACUUUGCUCCAUUUCGAUAGAAAUUUGGAGUUUCUCUUGCGAUCCUUCCGUCUGUAAGAAGUAAUAGCUCAAUUCAGGCCUUUAGUUCUUGUUUCUCUUUCUCAUAUUAGGCUAUUAAUCUCUAUUCUCAAGUAACCUGAAAAAAUGCCUAUUACUCAGUACUCUCUCAAGGAAUCUGUCUGCAGUGGCGGUUGUCUUUACUUGUGUUCUUGUUAUGGUUUUAGAGCUAUGAAAACCUUCGUUGGUAAUGUAACCUAUGUUAAUGUUAUAGUUUUAGGGUGAUGACAAAUCUGCAGUGAAAUUUUCCUAUUGGAUAAACUAAAACAUAACAUGUAUUACCAUGUUGGUGAUAUCAGAUGCCUAUUGAUUUCACCUUGUUUUUCCAUUAUAAUAUUUCAAAAAAAAUCAAUUUUGCUGCGAUGUUCGUCUGCAUCAUCCCACCGCAGCUUCUGAGUUCUGAUGUUGCUUCAUAAUGUUGCUUCAGUAUCUAUACUAGAGCAGUCACAAUCAAAAGUUACUAAUAGUGAGGAUGAUCUUGACUAUUGAGGAUGACUUCAUGGUAGAGGACGACUACCAUGAAAUUGAUUGUUGAAAUUAGGAUUUAGAUUUUUUAUAUGCAAGCUCUAUUCGUUUUUGCAGUGUAGAGAUGCUCGUCAUUGUGUAUUGACUGGUUGAUCCUUGGUCAUUCAGAGAGAAUACCCUAUCAAAUGAGACAGAUGAUUUUGUUGCAGACAAGGUUGAGUAUGAAUUAACCCAAGGCCUGGAAGUGAUUGCUUGCGUAGGUGAAACUUUUUAGCAGCGUGAAGGAUGGACUACAGUGGAAAGUAGUUUGUAAUUUGCUUUGUGUUGGUUGUUUCUUUUUCUUUUUAAUUAUGUUUUGGCUUUUGUGGGAUUCAACAGUGGCUGGGCUUCAAACUAGAUUUAGUUGUUCAGGGGUUUUGGCCUUGCAGGGAUAGUGUAGCAGAUCUUAUCGGGUUAAGUGUAUGCAUUGCGGUGACGAGACUAUUUAUUGGAGUUUACUUGUGUA
Molecule: long non-coding RNA, 1704 nt
Organism: Spinacia oleracea (spinach)
Lineage: Eukaryota; Viridiplantae; Streptophyta; Magnoliopsida; Caryophyllales; Amaranthaceae
Exons: 2
Source: RefSeq, a predicted model, not a curated record